AUUGCCCUAGUAACGGCGAGUGAAGCGGCAACAGCUCAAAUUUGAAAUCUGGCCUCGGCCCGAGUUGUAAUUUGCAGAGGAAGCUUUAGGCGCGGCACCAACUGAGUCCCCUGGAACGGGGCGCCAUAGAGGGUGAGAGCCCCGUAUAGUUGGACGCCUAGCCUGUGUAAAGCUCCUUCGACGAGUCGAGUAGUUUGGGAAUGCUGCUCAAAAUGGGAGGUAAAUUUCUUCUAAAGCUAAAUACCGGCCAGAGACCGAUAGCGCACAAGUAGAGUGAUCGAAAGAUGAAAAGCACUUUGAAAAGAGGGUUAAAUAGCACGUGAAAUUGUUGAAAGGGAAGCGCUUGUGACCAGACUUGCGCCGGGCGGAUCAUCCGGUGUUCUCACCGGUGCACUCCGCCCGGCUCAGGCCAGCAUCGGUUCUCGCGGGGGGAUAAAGGUCCCGGGAACGUAGCUCCUCCGGGAGUGUUAUAGCCCGGGGCGUAAUGCCCUCGCGGGGACCGAGGUUCGCGCAUCUGCAAGGAUGCUGGCGUAAUGGUCAUCAGCGACCCGUCUUGAAACACGGACCAAGGAGUCAAGGUUUUGCGCGAGUGUUUGGGUGUAAAACCCGCACGCGUAAUGAAAGUGAACGUAGGUGAGAGCUUCGGCGCAUCACCGACCGAUCCUGAUGUUUUCGGAUGGAUUUGAGUAGGAGCGUUAAGCCUUGGACCCGAAAGAUGGUGAACUAUGCUUGGAUAGGGUGAAGCCAGAGGAAACUCUGGUGGAGGCUCGCAGCGGUUCUGACGUGCAAAUCGAUCGUCAAAUCUGAGCAUGGGGGCGAAAGACUAAUCGAACCAUCUAGUAGCUGGUUACCGCCGAAGUUUCCCUCAGGAUAGCAGUGUUGUUCUUCAGUUUUAUGAGGUAAAGCGAAUGAUUAGGGACUCGGGGGCGCUUUUUAGCCUUCAUCCAUUCUCAAACUUUAAAUAUGUAAGAAGCCCUUGUUACUUAAUUGAACGUGGGCAUUCGAAUGUACCAACACUAGUGGGCCAUUUUUGGUAAGCAGAACUGGCGAUGCGGGAUGAACCGAACGCGGGGUUAAGGUGCCGGAGUGGACGCUCAUCAGACACCACAAAAGGCGUUAGUACAUCUUGACAGCAGGACGGUGGCCAUGGAAGUCGGAAUCCGCUAAGGACUGUGUAACAACUCACCUGCCGAAUGUACUAGCCCUGAAAAUGGAUGGCGCUCAAGCGUCCCACCCAUACCCCGCCCUCAGGGUAGAA
RNAcentral lists this ribosomal RNA (1258 nucleotides) under Chaetomidium gallecicum. Its description in RNAcentral is "eukaryotic LSU rRNA". It matches the Rfam family "Eukaryotic large subunit ribosomal RNA", at positions 74 to 1365 of the family's 3401-position model. Lineage: Eukaryota; Fungi; Ascomycota; Sordariomycetes; Sordariales; Chaetomiaceae. The record is from RNAcentral.